GGCUCGGUGGCGGGUGGCCCGUGUCUGCGAUUUGUAAAAAAAAACCAUUUGCAAAAUGUCAACCAAUGUGAAGCAGAAGCUGCUCGUUCGAAUCGAGCCCGAGCCA
Mycena vulgaris is the source of this 106-nucleotide non-coding RNA. Lineage: Eukaryota; Fungi; Basidiomycota; Agaricomycetes; Agaricales; Mycenaceae. The record is from the annotation of a GenBank genome assembly.